This 34-nucleotide transfer RNA is filed under the name Elymus sibiricus. RNAcentral's name for it is "partial tRNA-Phe". The record is from RNAcentral. Lineage: Eukaryota; Viridiplantae; Streptophyta; Magnoliopsida; Poales; Poaceae.
UCAGGAUAGCUCAGUUGGUAGAGCAGAGACUGAA